RNAcentral lists this ribosomal RNA (465 nucleotides) under uncultured bacterium. RNAcentral's name for it is "partial 16S ribosomal RNA". It matches the Rfam family "Bacterial small subunit ribosomal RNA", at positions 28 to 507 of the family's 1533-position model. The record is from RNAcentral.
GACGAACGCUGGCGGCGUGCUUAACACAUGCAAGUCGAACGGAGAGGCCCCUUUGGGGGUACUCGAGUGGCGAACGGGUGAGUAACACGUGAGUAACCUGCCCUUGACUUCGGGAUAACUUCAGGAAACUGGGGCUAAUACCGGAUAGGAAUCCUUGCUGCAUGGUGGGGGUUGGAAAGCUUCGGCGGUUUUGGAUGGACUCGCGGCUUAUCAGCUUGUUGGUGGGGUAGUGGCUUACCAAGGCUUUGACGGGUAGCCGGCCUGAGAGGGCGACCGGCCACAUUGGGACUGAGAUACGGCCCAGACUCCUACGGGAGGCAGCAGUGGGGAAGAUUGCACAAUGGGCGGAAGCCUGAUGCAGCAACGCCGCGUGCGGGAUGACGGCCUUCGGGUUGUAAACCGCUUUCAGCAGGGGCGAAGCUUGUGGUGACGGUACCUGCAGAAGAAGCACCGGCUAACUACGUG